RNAcentral lists this ribosomal RNA (454 nucleotides) under uncultured bacterium. Its description in RNAcentral is "partial 16S ribosomal RNA". It matches the Rfam family "Bacterial small subunit ribosomal RNA", at positions 28 to 507 of the family's 1533-position model. The record is from RNAcentral.
GAUGAACGCUGACAGAAUGCUUAACACAUGCAAGUCUACUUGAACUUCGGUUUGGGUGGCGGACGGGUGAGUAACGCGUACAGAACUUACCUCACAGUUAGGGACAACAUUUGGAAACGAAUGCUAAUACCUGAUAUUAUGAUUUUAGGGCAUCCUAAGAUUAUGAAAGCUAUAUGCGCUGUGAGAGAGCUUUGCGUCCCAUUAGCUAGUUGGAGAGGUAACGGCUCACCAAGGCGAUGAUGGGUAGCCGGCCUGAGAGGGUGAACGGCCACAAGGGGACUGAGACACGGCCCUUACUCCUACGGGAGGAAGCAGUGGGGAAUAUUGGACAAUGGACCAAAAGUCUGAUCCAGCAAUUCUGUGUGCACGAUGACGUUUUUCGGAAUGUAAAGUGCUUUCAGUUGGGAAGAAAAAAAUGACGGUACCAACAGAAGAAGUGACGGCUAAAUACGUG